CCUACGGGUGGCUGCAGUGGGGAAUAUUGGACAAUGGGCGAAAGCCUGAUCCAGCCAUGCCGCGUGUGUGAAGAAGGCCUUCGGGUUGUAAAGCACUUUCAGUGGGGAAGAAAGCCUUGGGGCUAAUACCCUCGAGGAAGGACAUCACCCACAGAAGAAGCACCGGCUAACUCCGUGCCAGCAGCCGCGGUAAUACGGAGGGUGCGAGCGUUAAUCGGAAUUACUGGGCGUAAAGCGCGCGUAGGCGGUCUGAUAAGCCGGUUGUGAAAGCCCCGGGCUCAACCUGGGAACGGCAUCCGGAACUGUCAGGCUAGAGUGCAGGAGAGGAAGGUAGAAUUCCCGGUGUAGCGGUGAAAUGCGUAGAGAUCGGGAGGAAUACCAGUGGCGAAGGCGGCCUUCUGGACUGACACUGACGCUGAGGUGUGAAAGCGUGGGUAGCAAACAGGAUUAGAUACCCUUGUAGUC
RNAcentral lists this ribosomal RNA (465 nucleotides) under Vreelandella stevensii. RNAcentral's name for it is "partial 16S ribosomal RNA". It matches the Rfam family "Bacterial small subunit ribosomal RNA", at positions 338 to 795 of the family's 1533-position model. Lineage: Bacteria; Pseudomonadati; Pseudomonadota; Gammaproteobacteria; Oceanospirillales; Halomonadaceae. The record is from RNAcentral.